GAUGAACGCUGGCUACAUGCUUAACACAUGCAAGUCGUGCGGCAGCGGAUAGUUAGCUUGCUAAGUAUGCCAGCGACCGGCGGACGGGUGAGAAACGCGUACCCAACCUGCCCGUCACACAGGACUAGGCUUGCGAGAGCAAAAUUACUGUCAAAUUGUCGCACUUUUAUGCAUGUUAGAUUAAGUCAAUCCUUCGGGCGGUUAUGGAUGGCGGUGCGUCGCAUUAGGUAGUUGGUGAGGUAACGGCCUACCAAGCCUUCGAUGGGUAGGUGUUCUGAGAGGAAGGUCACCCACAGUGGAACUGAGAUACGGUCCAACCUCCUACGGGAGGCAGCAGUGAGGAAUAUUGGUGAAUGGGCGAGAGACUGAACCAGCCAAGUAGCGUGCGGGAUGAAUGCCCUUGUGGUCGUAAACCGCUUUUAUCAGUGAAUAAAGUGCACCACGUGUGGUGUCAUUGCAGGUAGCUGAAGAAAAAGGACCGGCUAAUUCCGUG
This 493-nucleotide ribosomal RNA is filed under the name uncultured bacterium. RNAcentral describes it as "partial 16S ribosomal RNA". It matches the Rfam family "Bacterial small subunit ribosomal RNA", at positions 28 to 507 of the family's 1533-position model. The record is from RNAcentral.